Long non-coding RNA from Myxocyprinus asiaticus (Chinese sucker), 1219 nucleotides. RefSeq lists it as uncharacterized. NCBI's taxonomy places the organism in Eukaryota, Metazoa, Chordata, Actinopteri, Cypriniformes, Catostomidae. The transcript has 4 exons. The record is from RefSeq and is a predicted model, not a curated record.
AAGAGAGCGCGCGUCAGCCUCACGAGCAUCACCAUAAUCGAUAUAAUCAGUGGUUUGGAGAGUUUUCCACCUGUUGUAAAUGUGUAAGGCCUCAGAAAGAGUAGAACGCGAGGUAGUAACGAUAAAAAAUAAAUAAAUUAAUUUGUAGGCUUGACGGGCGAAUAUAGGGAGCAAAGGAGACGUUGUGGAUUACAGACGUGCUGCAUGUUGCAAUGCAUCGGUACAUUUCAUGUGUUCCGUGCACGAGGAUGCUGAUGGUGAUCCACGUUGCUCCACGAGAUGUAUGAUGCUGUCAUAACAUCAAGACCACAAAAGCACCACCACUCGGGACUAAUUGCGCGUUUAUGAGGGUUGGUUUCUCUCUUUGGUUAUCUAGCUGUAUGAGUUAUAACACAUUUCAUAAAGCUAGAUAACCGAAAAUAGAAAUAAUUCUCAAAAUCUGCUGAAAAUGCCACUCAAGUCUGAAAGAAGCCAGAGCUUUAUCUCAGUGUGCUUAUUUCCAUACACAAUAUGGCAAUGAAGUAAAAACAGGGGCACAUCCAUCAGAGAGAGUGUGAGAGAGAGAGUCUUGGAGGAACAUGGCAGCUUCCAGUUGCUACAUCUUUCCUUCUCCACCUACCCAGAAACCCCCAGUGCCAUCUGUGCCCCUGUGGGGUGCUGUAGAGAAUCCAUGCCAGUGCCAGCGGCGACGAAACCCUUGAGUCGCAGCGCCAAGACAGACGACAUAGGGAGGCCAUCUUGACGGAGAUCUUAAACGAGAAGCUAAGAUGGCUGGGCUGGCACAUGAGACUGGGCUGUGGACUUGACUCGGAGACACACUCUUGGCUCAUUGGAAGAAAUGAAGGAAAAUCGACUGUAAUUACGCAGCCUGAGAGAACAAUGGGAGAGCACCAUGUAGAAAGUUUAAGAGGCAUAAAAUCGUAAAAUCAUGAUGAUGGCGAUGUGUGUACAAAUGUGUGUGUGUGAGUGUGUAAGAGCAAGAGUAUUUUGUCUUUAUUGUUUAUUUAUUUAUUGGUUUAUUUAUUAUUGUCUUUAUUAUUACAAAUUAAAAACAAAAAAUGUUUUGAAUGAGCCAUUUGAAUAUUUCCAUUACAACCAUGUUUACAGAAGAUGCCCAUUUGUUUUAUAUAUAUAUAUAUAUAUAUAUAUAUAUAUAUAUAUAUAUAUAUUAUAAUUAAUUUGACAUUACAGUAUGUUCAUAAAUAAAAAUAUUUCUACA